GACGAACGCUGGCGGCGUGCUUAACACAUGCAAGUCGAACGGAAAGGCCCUGCUUUUGUGGGGUGCUCGAGUGGCGAACGGGUGAGUAACACGUGAGUAACCUGCCCUUGACUUUGGGAUAACUUCAGGAAACUGGGGCUAAUACCGGAUAGGAGUUCCUGCUGCAUGGUGGGGGUUGGAAAGUUUCGGCGGUUGGGGAUGGACUCGCGGCUUAUCAGCUUGUUGGUGGGGUAGUGGCUUACCGAGGCUUUGACGGGUAGCCGGCCUGAGAGGGUGACCGGCCACAUGGGGACUGAGAUACGGCCCAGACUCCUACGGGAGGCAGCAGUGGGGAAUAUUGCACAAUGGGCGGAAGCCUGAUGCAGCAACGCCGCGUGCGGGAUGACGGCCUUCGGGUUGUAAACCGCUUUCGCCUGUGACGAAGCGUGAGUGACGGUAAUGGGUAAAGAAGCACCGGCUAACUACGU
RNAcentral lists this ribosomal RNA (467 nucleotides) under uncultured bacterium. RNAcentral's name for it is "partial 16S ribosomal RNA". It matches the Rfam family "Bacterial small subunit ribosomal RNA", at positions 28 to 506 of the family's 1533-position model. The record is from RNAcentral.